Molecule: ribosomal RNA, 234 nt
Filed under: Triticum aestivum (bread wheat)
Lineage: Eukaryota; Viridiplantae; Streptophyta; Magnoliopsida; Poales; Poaceae
Description: partial small subunit ribosomal RNA
Source: RNAcentral
AUGCUUCUCCUUGACGUACCGGCUCCAGCCCUUGGUGAGCACGUAGCUCUGGCUGCUCGUCCAGUACGAGUACCGGAACCGCCACGGCUUGCCGGCCUCGUCGUCAAAGGACAGGAGCAGGCCCUUCUCCCCAGAGUCGCCGCCAAGAGGGAAGCACCUCUCGGCGUGCUGCUUGGGGAUCACCAGCCUGUUGAGCUUGCCUACAUCGCUGGGCGUCAGGGCCUUCUCAAAUAG